AUGGGAGUAGAGUAGAAAGGGGCUGCUUGGCGUUCGGGAUGCAGACGGCUACCAGGACAGUUUCGAGCAUCGGCGGAAUUCAAAUCAAGACGACAGGAGUAGCUAAGCUAAGGGGAUAUUGAGUUUUUAGUUUUCAAUAUUAGUGUUCCAGAAGCUGCUUGGCGUUCCGGGUGGAACAACUUCGAAGAUUUUGAAGACAGGGCAGUUUCGGCGGUCAACAGGAUUGGAUUUCAGACGAUAGGAGUGACGAAAGGAGCUGCUUGGUUUUCGGGGUGCGGACACUUCCAAGCCGAGGAUAGCCUCAAUGGUCACUUCCAGGAUGGGCAGGAUUGGAAAUCAGAUGACAGGCGAAAUACAAGGAUGUCCGACAGGCACGCCGUUCACGUUAGCGGAGAAAGGAUUUCAGAAACUUUGAUGCGAACUCGAUGAGAUUUCAAAUGUCAAGGGACAAAUGAUGUGGAAUCGGCGGCAGGCAACAGGAUUCGACACGGUCAUUGGAACUUCGUGAACUUUCUUUUUUGUCUUUUUUUUUUCAUUGCUUUUCUUGCCCACGUCUUUUCAUCGGUUUCCGGUGUUUCGUUAUCUCUUUGUCGUCCGGGUCUUUUUUCGGUGUCUCGAGAGUUCUGUUUCUUUGUUGCAAUCGUCCCGGUUUUGUCCUAGUUGGUCGUUUGUCCUUCUGGUAGUCCUUCUGGUUUUUAGUGGUAGUC
RNAcentral lists this small RNA (707 nucleotides) under Caenorhabditis briggsae. RNAcentral's name for it is "sRNA CBG31182". The record is from RNAcentral. Lineage: Eukaryota; Metazoa; Nematoda; Chromadorea; Rhabditida; Rhabditidae.